Molecule: ribosomal RNA, 714 nt
Filed under: Caballeronia sp.
Lineage: Bacteria; Pseudomonadati; Pseudomonadota; Betaproteobacteria; Burkholderiales; Burkholderiaceae
Description: bacterial SSU rRNA
Rfam family: Bacterial small subunit ribosomal RNA
Source: RNAcentral
UACGGGAGGCAGCAGUGGGGAAUUUUGGACAAUGGGGGAAACCCUGAUCCAGCAAUGCCGCGUGUGUGAAGAAGGCCUUCGGGUUGUAAAGCACUUUUGUCCGGAAAGAAAACUUCUCCAUUAAUACCGGGGGAGGAUGACGGUACCGGAAGAAUAAGCACCGGCUAACUACGUGCCAGCAGCCGCGGUAAUACGUAGGGUGCGAGCGUUAAUCGGAAUUACUGGGCGUAAAGCGUGCGCAGGCGGUUCGUUAAGACAGAUGUGAAAUCCCCGGGCUUAACCUGGGAACUGCAUUUGUGACUGUCGAGCUAGAGUAUGGCAGAGGGGGGUAGAAUUCCACGUGUAGCAGUGAAAUGCGUAGAGAUGUGGAGGAAUACCGAUGGCGAAGGCAGCCCCCUGGGCCAAUACUGACGCUCAUGCACGAAAGCGUGGGGAGCAAACAGGAUUAGAUACCCUGGUAGUCCACGCCCUAAACGAUGUCAACUAGUUGUUGGGGAUUCAUUUCCUUAGUAACGUAGCUAACGCGUGAAGUUGACCGCCUGGGGAGUACGGUCGCAAGAUUAAAACUCAAAGGAAUUGACGGGGACCCGCACAAGCGGUGGAUGAUGUGGAUUAAUUCGAUGCAACGCGAAAAACCUUACCUACCCUUGACAUGGUCGGAACCCUGCUGAAAGGUGGGGGUGCUCGAAAGAGAACCGAUACACAGGUGCUGCA